RNAcentral lists this ribosomal RNA (254 nucleotides) under uncultured bacterium. RNAcentral's name for it is "partial 16S ribosomal RNA". It matches the Rfam family "Bacterial small subunit ribosomal RNA", at positions 524 to 776 of the family's 1533-position model. The record is from RNAcentral.
UACGGGGGGAGCAAGCGUUGUUCGGAUUUACUGGGCGUAAAGGGCGCGUAGGCGGUCAGCACAAGUCAGUUGUGAAAUCUCCGGGCUUAACCCGGAAAGGUCAACUGAUACUGUGCGACUAGAGUGCGGAAGGGGCAACUGGAAUUCUCGGUGUAGCGGUGAAAUGCGUAGAUAUCGAGAGGAACACCUGCGGCGAAGGCGGGUUGCUGGGCCGACACUGACGCUGAUGCGCGAAAGCCAGGGGAGAGAACGGG